CCACUAACUAUGAUGUGCAUUUUUGCUUCAAUCAUAACACCAAAGAAUCUUUUUGUUGUGGCUAACCCUCUGAAAUGUCCAGAUCAUAUUGAUUUGUUUACUGAUUUAAUAUUGACUACUUUUAGUUUGUGAUUGCAUCUUGCAUCUUGAAAGAAAGAAUAGUGAAAUACAGUUUGUUGAUUUUAUUUAGGUACACAAGACUGUUUGUGCCUGUUACUUGGGCUUAUCUGAGACUUCUCCCUUUUAGAAGGCAAGCCCCCUAGUUGGGGUUGAGUGUGUGUUUUGAAAUGCCUGUGCUAAACCAAGUCUUUCCUUUUCCCUUUCAGAAUGAAGACCUAAACAACCUCAGCAAAUCUUCCUCUAACUCAUGGGUACCCAGACUCUAACUCUUUCAUGAUUCACAAUCAGGACCUCACAUCUUCCGCCUCUGUAGAUGGUACGAUGCAUCCAUUUCAGUUUGUUUACUUUAUACAAUCCUCAGGAGUUUGUUGACUGAACUGCACGUUCUAUAUUGUGCCAAGCAAAAAAGCACUGUGACACCAGAAGAAUAGUCUGCGUGAACUUCAUCUUGAACCUUAAGGACUUAGCUGGCCACAAUGAGCUGAUGUGCCCACUACCAGGCUGCAAGAGAAUGGGUUUCCUCUCAUUUACAAGAUUUGUUUCAUCUGCUGCUGAAACUGUGUUUGACAAAAUGUCAUUGUAAAUUAUUUCAUUCAAAACUGUUCACAUUGGGUGGAGAGAGUAUUAAAUAUUUAACAUAGGUUUUGAUUUAUAUGUGUAAUUUUUUUAAUGAAAAUGUAACUUUUCUUACAGCACAUCUUUUUUUUGGAUGUGGAACUGAGGUAUACAAUGUUCUGUUGUAAAGAGUGGAGCAAAUGCUUAAAACAAGGCUAACAAGAGUAGAAUAGUGUAUGAUCCUUGUUUUAAGAUUGUAAUUCAGAAAAAUAAUAUAAUAAGAAUCAUAGUGCCAUAGAUGAUUCUCAAUUGUAUAGUUAUAUUUGCUGAUACUAUCUCUUGUAAUAUAAACUUGAUGUUGAGCUGAGUUCCUUAAAAGAAUUAAUCUUAAUUUUGUAUUUUUCCUGUAAGACAGUAGACCAUGUUAAUUAAACUGAAGAACAGUAUAUACUACUUGGGUAUUUUCAAGUGUCAGCUUAAAAUUGAUGAUUGAAUGGAAGCAAAAUUAUAAGAAAAGGAAAUCAAAGUCUUCCAUUGUAUAUAUUGUAAAGAGAAGGAGACCUGGGUGAUCCUUUCAAAUCAAAAGCUCUCUUUGGAAUGAACAAUGUGGGUGUUUGUAAAUUCUGGAAAUGUCUUUCUAUUCAUAAUAAACUAGAAUCUGUUAAUCUUUUCUUCUCUCCCCCUCCCCCAGUCCACUUCUGGAAGCUUCCUGCUCCAUUCCCACCAUUUUUUUUUCCUGUGCACAUGUUAUAAUAUUUCAUUUCUUGCGUUGUAUUGAGUAUACUUAGACAAGUGAGUGCUUGCUAACCAGAAAUUAAAAUUCCAGAGUGGCUUUUUUUUUUUUUUUUUGAAUCAUGACCAGGGCUACAUGUCAGUUUCCUUAAGACCCUGAGUUCACAUGUUCUGAGAACUUCUGGUUUUACAUUAUUUAACCUAAUGUAACUGGCCCAUUUGCCCUGGUAGGUGCUGGCCUAGUAGUGAUUAGUUUAAUUAAAAAAACAAAAAACAAAACAAAAAAAAACAAAAACACAAAAAACAAAAAUAAAAAACAGUGCACAGACAGCACAUAAAAACAUAAUGACCUGCUAUGGGAACAUCUAGCCUGCAGUGAGAAUUUUUAAUCCUUUUCUUGUUUAGAAAGUAUACACAUCUUGGGAUUUUUCCUUGUGAAACACAAAUGGCAAUGAGCACAUUUAAAGAUAUUGCCUACAGAAGUUUUGAAUCUUUUUGCCAGGAAACUUCCAAAAGUUAAGUGAAUUCAUGCAAAUAUCAGGCUCCCUCUGAGCCAGUGUGAAGUCUGUAUCAGUGGUUGCCAGCCCUGCUGUUGGGAGGAGCAACAGUUUAUUUCUGGGAAGGGUUGAUCCUCCUGGGUGGAGCUACAAGGAAGGGCCAGGGUUGGAGGGCCUCGCAGUGGCUGCUGCUCUGAUCAGCUGGUUGGAGAGCUCUGCUCUACUUAAAAGGGAGUGGAGAUAAAUGGCACCCGCACACUGCUGAGGCCCGUGUUACUGUUCAUUCAACCAGAUGGCAUGUACCUCACAGACUAUUGUACAAUGUUCAUCGUUGCAGAUUUUAAUCAUUUGCAUGCUCAUCAAUUUCUAAGAUAAAUAAGCCUAUAGUCAUAAGAAUCCAUUGUUUUCAAGGACCUUGCUGAAUUACAUCAUUUCCUAUUCAUAGAGAACACCACCAACUUUGAAAAUAUCAUAGGAAAGUUAUUUUUUACUCCUUUGUAAAAAAGAAAGAAAAGACUUUCUCAGUCAAACUAACUUUUCAUUUUUGACUCUUCUGAUUCGUACUCUUGCUAGUGUAAGAAGAAAGCUAGCUAUCCUGCUCUCUUCCGUUGAGCACUUAAGUAGUAAAAGAGAAAUCAAUGAACAAAGCUGCCUCAACUAUUUUUCCUGCUAAGCUGGUUAUUAUUUCUCAAGGAACCCAGACUUUAAAUAUGUAUUACCAAGAUACCUCUGCAUGUGGAAUUAUCAACAUAUUUUGGGUGAGAACAGAAACGAACAGACUGGAAAGUGCAUCUCUUAGUUUCUAUGGCUGACUUUUUGUUGAUUCAAAUAAAGGUAGAAAUUCUUAUUUAAGCUGCUUCCAGAGGUGCCUGAGCUGGGUUUGAUGGCAGUAUCAAACUUUACUGACUUAAAACUGGAAGUUGCUGGUACUCAAGCCAACAGCUCGUGCUCUGGCUAACUCAAAGGGUUUUUCUUUGAGCACAUCGGCUGCUAAGUCCUUGUGUUUGGUUCCUAUUUAAGAGAGUUGGCUUUUAUCCAUUUCAAAGUAUUUGUCGGCCAGCCAAGGGCUUACGUUAAUGGGGCUUCUAGUGGCCUCUGGUUAACCUAGAAGUUAGUGGCUUUUUCUUCAUGAGAACAACCUUUCACAGCAUUCUUUCUUAGAUACAGGCAGAGUUAUAAAAUUCUCCUUUGUGAAAGGAACAAAUGUUUUGUAGCUUUGAUAUCUUCAUUCUGGGCAAAAGCAUGUCCCUAGAACCAGUUAGAAGUAAGGGGAAUCCAUUAAUGAUCAACCACCUGAGUCAAUAAUGACAAAUCAGUUCUGAUGUUACAUGUGUGGCUAUUUCUUGCUAACUCUCAAAGGUCAGGGACUCUCUUGACUAAUCUAGUGAUGCAAAAAUGGAUUUACUCAGAAUCAUCUGGUCAGAAAGUAGAGAUUUUUAACCUUUCUUUUCCCUGGCUUUUGUCUUUUGGGUAUAUUUUAAAUGGGAGACAGAGUAUUAAGAAACAGUUUUGUACUGUAAGAAACAGUGCUUUACAGUACUGAAGCCCUGUUUUAUGCAUUCUUGCAUCCUGAAUGCAAUAUGCCAUGUAGCUGAAAACUUCAAUUUUAUUUACUAUAGGCGGUUUAAAGGUGGGGAAGGAGGCUCACCACCCAUUGACGCCAAGAGCCACAAAAAUCAGUACAGAGAGAAGCACUGUGGCUGAUCCCAUAUUCAGUCUGUCAUUGGCUUUGUGGAGCUCUACAGGUCAGUCCAUCAUACAAGGAAGCCCUGAAACCAGACACUGAGAAUUAAAGCCCUGAUAGGGGAGAGAAGGAUCCUUUGGGAGGCAUGCAAAAGAGAAUGGGUGGAAAUCAAAUAUGAAAUCACUUCUUUGUAGUGAUUUGAGGGAGGGAUAGUGUUCCCAGCACUUGGUGAAUGUUAGUUGGAGGUGAUGCUAUAUUCAUGUAUAUAGGCUACUGAGAAACCUGAAGGAAGAAGCAUGCCCUUCCAGGGAUGUGAGGAAUAUCACCUUGCCAAGGCUAAGGAAAAGAGCUCCAUCCAGACGGUAGAUUUACUUAUGAGGAGCAAUGACAGCCUUUUAGUAGAAUGUCCAGGGUUAAAGAGGGCCUUUGGUCAUUUCUAAAGUCAAGCCUGGGAAGAUCUUCAAGGUCUUGCCAUAGCUCUGUAAACCAGACCCCUAGGUGUGGCUGCAGAACAUGUGGGUCUGGUGUGUGUUGGUUAUUUCUCACUGCUUGUAACCAGAGCAUCAAAUUCGAUGCUGCAAGGUUGAAUGAUAUUGGGAGUGUUUGGCCCUACUCUUAAGAGAUCUAUCAUUAAUAAACAGCUUAUAAUUAGCUAGUAUGAUUAGAAAAUGUAUGACUUAGAUGACAAGUUGUCUUCCUUUCCUAGCUUGUCGAUGACUUGGCAUUUGUGAUGUAUACACAAAGAGAUCCGGUGUGUUAGCCUUUCACCAUUCACCUGGCAUUUAAAUCUCUCUUUGCUCAUGCUGUUCAUUUACCAGUGUUACCCAAUAUGCCAUGUGCUAGGACAAAUUCACUACACAGGAAAGUGUCUAGAUUUGUGUAGACAUCUUUAGUGCUGAUUUUUUUUUCCUUCUUUGCCAUUGGCCUAAGAAUGUAGUUCCCAGAACAAUUUUUUCUUGCAAAAUAUUUUCCUUACACCUCUUGGCUACAGGGUGGGCCAAAUCAACUACAUAUAUAUUUUCACUUACUGUGUGUGCAGUUUGGUUUAUCAUCCUAAGAUGGUGGUGCUGCUCCUGGUGCUACUUCAUCUGUGUACAAGAGACCAACACAUGGUCUGUAUUGCUACCAAAACAUUUAUUGUAUAUAUGUGUAUAACAUACGUAUUAUGUAUAUAUGUCAUGGGUACCAGGCCAGGUUUAUAUUUUUUAUUUAGAAGUGUUUCACUUUUCCAAGUUUUCUUUAUAGUGUUAUGUUUAUUUUCAAUUUUUUUCCCCCUUGAUUCUGUCUGGUACUUAGAACUGUAGUGUCUUCAUCGUUAAUUAAAGAAAACUGUCUAAAUGAAUUUCACGAUGUCAAUGUUAGUGAUCCUUCCUGUCUUUUGAUUAUGGGACAUGACACAGAAACUGGGCAUUUGGCUGGGUUAGGAGCAGUGGAUACCAUUAAUUUUGGAACUGAUCUUUUUGCCUGACUCUAUCUCUUCUCAGUUGGCUUUCAAUGGCCAAGUGAAUAAACAAAAUGGCCUUGGGAAAGAUUUUAAGGUGCUUUUAUUGGUGGUGGUGAUGAGGGAGAACAGAAUAGGCAGGGAAAAAAAAAUCCAUCCUUGGUGGAAAGAUUUGUGUUUAGUUUACAGACACUGCGACAGCCUCUUCAACCUUAAAUGUGCACACAGAUCUCUGGUUCAAAUGCAGGUUGUCAUUCCAGAUAUUGGGGCCAGACUUGAGAGAGAGCUUUUCUAACCCGUUCCCUGGCAAGGCCAAGGCAAGUACUGCUAGUCCUAACCUGAUGGCAAUUAGCUUUGGAUACAUAUUAGUGUCAUCUGGGCAGCUAUUAAAAGACUCAGUGGCCAGGCCAACUCUGGGGAUGCUGGUUUAACAGGUCCAGGGGUGGGUCCUGAACUUUAGUUGUUUCAGAUGCACUUGAUGCUCCCAGGGAGAUUCUAGCAAGUGGUCAGGGCUGAGAACCAUUGCUGCAAAGUGUUGCCUAAACUUCUCUGAUUAUUAGAGUUGCUUAUUAGAAAUACUGACACCUGGAGUGGUGUAGGAAUGUGCACCUUUCAGCAGGCGACUCUUCUGGUAGGCAAGUUUGGGAGAGACUCAUUUCUGUGGAAGUGGAGGUUUUAGAUCAUUUCACCAAUAGAAGGAAUAGCAACACCUGCAAUUUUUGAAAAUAAUUUACCGUGUGCCUAUACAGAAGCAGCCAGGAUCUUCCUUUGCUCCUCUGAGCUUUCUUGCUUCAACAACUUAAAAUGAAGAUAAUUGAUAGGUCCUGGAUAGUUAAAGGUAACUCAAAAGUUUUUUGACAUUUUGGAAACAUAUUCAAGUUUUUUUUAAUUUAAUUUUUUAUAAGCAUGGUGUUGCACUGAAAGCAGACAGACUCACUUUCCUGUCCUUAUUUGGGGCAUCGGCUGGAGGACUCUUCCUUCUGCCUGCCAGUGUAAAUAAUAUUUUCACUGUUUCGGAGCAGCAUAUGACCUGAUUUAAUAAAUGCUAGAAGCUCUUUGGUGUUCCUUUUAUAUUACCUUUCUCCAUUUAUACUUAAAACAAGAACCACUGAUUUUUCCCCUCCUACGGGUACUGCAAAGCGAACAUGUAUCCCCUAUUGAAAUGACAUGUGAACAUCACUAAUUAGUAUGAAUUUGAGGGAGGUCUAGUUGGAAUGAAUUAAUGGUGUAAUUUUUAGCACAGCUGCUUAUUACCUUUACAAAUAUAUAAAAACAAACUAUAGCAAGUAAAGUGCUGUCAAUGAAGGACCUUUGAGAAAUGCAUAGCCAAGUAGAACUUGUAAUUACCUCAGUGAUUCUAUUAUAAAUAGUAGCAACAUUUAUUCCACAUUUAUUCUAGGUUAGCCACCAGGAUUUAUGUCAAUUAUCUCAUUUUAUUCUUGUAGGUAACCCAGGGGUAGAGGAGGGGUGUGUCUGGUCACAGAUUACUGAGGUGGAACAGUCUCUCACAUUGAGGACUGUUGGAUGACAGGGUUUAUGUUCUCAUCAACACCACUGCAAGUCUCUGGGUUCCAGAUACUUAAAAUUAUGUUCCACAAAUUUAAAACACUGUUGGGCUGAGGUUGUAGCUUAGUGGUAGAGCAUUUCUUGCCUAGUAUGGGAAGGCCCUAGGUUUAAUCCCCCCAGUACCACAAAACAAAAAAAAAAAAGGAAAAGAAAGAAAAAAUACAACCCACUAUUACUCUAGCUGCCUUGGGCUAUGAACUUGCUGUACAAACAUAAUAUGUGAGCCUGAAAGUAUGCUUUUGCUUGUCCAGCUUAUAACUUUCACCCUACAAGGUAACAGGGCCUGAUUCCAUUUAUUUCCAUUUCUUACCUUUGUAUCUAGUUUAGUUCAUUAGUGUCAAGAGUUUAUCCUAAUUCUGUUUUUCUCACUAAGUACACCUCAUUUCAGCAAUGGAAUAGAGAUAUCCAGAUUUAAUUUAGUAGAACACAAAAGGAUAGUAAUAUGGUUAGAUGUGAAAGCCACAUAAAAUCCAAACAGAUAUGUUUGGGGGCAUUAGGUUUUACAUAUUACCUCUGGUGAACCUUUCUGAAUCAGAAUUUCUCAUGGGAUAUGGAUGAUUAGGAAAAUGAGUGGAAAAGCAAUAGGAAAUAUGGGGAGGCAGAUGCCUGAGUAUCAGCUGAAUCACAGAAAUAGUUCCCACCAUUAGUGAAUGAAUGAAUGAGGCUUCUCUAAAGUACAGGAACUCCUAUAAGCUACAGUCAGUUUUUCCCAAAGUUCAGAUCAAGAGCAACUCUUAACAGAAUUCCUACUGUGCUUAUAACAACAGACUUUAGCAAUGGCCAUAGGAAACUAUUUUAAUAAUAAAUUGGUUUCCCAAUACACACACAUUUGGGUGACCUAUACCCCAACUCUGAAGGAAUAUGUUACUGGAGUUCAUUAAGUAAUGUCCUAUCUGCUCCCUCUCUGUAAGUUGCUCCAAGCUCCAAAUCUCAAGGAUCAAAGUUACCUAAUUGUAAAUGAGAGAAGAAUUGUUAUAGUUGGAGUUCCUGAAAAGAAAAACAACCCAAAAAGUAAAAUUCAGUAAAACUAGUCUAAACUUACAAAGAAAUAGCAUUAAAAUAGAGUUAUUAGGUAAAUUUGCAUAGAUAUUAUAUAACAUUAGCAUGAUUCUAUAAAACAAAUAAGAAAUAUGUAUGCAAAUGGAAGUUUAUUUCUCAAAAUUUUAAGAAGUGGUAUUCUGAUGGUAUUUUGGAUGAUUUUUCUUUUUUCUUUUUCUGUAAACUUUUAUAGUGAUCAUAUGUUAUUUUUAUAUUGAGAAAGAGAACAAUAAACUGUUAUAAAAACACAAAGAGGGUUGGAUGAUACUCUCAGUGAACCGCCCCCCCCCCCAAUUAAUCUCCCUAUUCAUUGUCUACAAAUUAGGAGUUAUCCACCUACAGCUUGGAGGCCUAAUUCUAUCUGCUGCUUGUUUUUAUAAAUAAAGUUUUAUUGGAACAUA
This 8034-nucleotide long non-coding RNA is filed under the name Marmota monax (woodchuck). Lineage: Eukaryota; Metazoa; Chordata; Mammalia; Rodentia; Sciuridae. The record is from RNAcentral.